RNAcentral lists this transfer RNA (76 nucleotides) under Escherichia coli. Its description in RNAcentral is "tRNA-Ile". It matches the Rfam family "tRNA". Rfam says of the family: Transfer RNA (tRNA) molecules are approximately 80 nucleotides in length. Lineage: Bacteria; Pseudomonadati; Pseudomonadota; Gammaproteobacteria; Enterobacterales; Enterobacteriaceae. The record is from RNAcentral.
GGCCCUUUAGCUCAGUGGUUAGAGCAGGCGUCUCAUAAUCGUCCGGUCGCUGGUUCAAGUCCAGCAAGGGCCACCA